AGAUGCCAUCCAGGCGCACGGCGGGUAUAGUGGUUCCGCAACCUUGGGAUGUUCGGCUGAGCGCCUGCCUAACAUGGGAGCGCCUGCCUAACCCUCCUGACUGGAGGGUCAGCGGCGGGGAGUCCUGGCCUUCAAUCGGCCAUCGCCACGGCAGAAACUGGGGCCCGGGCUGCGUCCAGGCCCUUCCCCGUCCGUCCACAGGUCUCAUGGGCGCCCGGACUGGGGCUGAUGUAGUUUCCCGACCUCUGACACAUAGGAUCUGGAGAUUAAAGGUAUAAAAACGGGGACUUUUCAGCCCACUCAAGUAAAACACCCUUUUAUUUUUCGGCAGGUGUUUUGUUGCAGAAUGCCCUGAGGGGAGGGAGUGACUGCUGGGUUUCGGUUUAUAAAAUAAAAUAAACUCCUGAUUUAGAUUAUGUUUAAUAUGGCUCCCCAACCUUUAAAAAUCCCACUUUUUGCCAGUUGUAUUAUUUAGUGGGAUGUUGAAGGGGGGGGCCUGCGCCUCCACACCUGUGGGCGUUUCUCCUCAGGUGGGAUGAAAGACUGAGAAAAGAAAAAGACACAGAGACAAAGUAUACAGAAAGAAAAGUGGGCCCAGGGGACCAGCGCUCAGCAUAUGGAGGACCUGCGCCAGCACUGGUCUCUGAGUUCCCUCAGUAUUUAUUGAUCAUUAUUUUUACCAUCUCAGAGAGGGGGAUGUGGCAGGACAGUAGGGUAAUAGUGGGGAGAGGGUCAGCAGGAAAACGUGAACAAAGGUCUCUGCAUCAUAGACAAGGUAAAUAAUUAAGUGCUGUGCUUUAGAUAUGCAUACACAUAAACAUCUCAAUGCCUUACAGAGCAGU
This 842-nucleotide long non-coding RNA is filed under the name Homo sapiens (human). Its description in RNAcentral is "non-protein coding LINC01535:20". Lineage: Eukaryota; Metazoa; Chordata; Mammalia; Primates; Hominidae. The record is from RNAcentral.